UUAAAUUAUAUUUUCCAACAUUCAUUGCUUUUGUAAAAGUGAAAAACUACAAAAAUAUCAUUCGAAAGAAAUUCGUAAAGCAAUUUGUACAUGGUUUAUUAAUAUGGAAGUGUUCGGUCCUCUGGUUGUUUCACCCACUAAACUAUAUUGCAAUGCGCCAUCCAAAAGUUGCCAAAAAUGUAUAAUUAAUCUUACCAAUUUUAGCAGUAAAUAUAUUUUAUAUUAUUUGAAAACUCCCAAUGAUGAAUUUAUUGAAAUUGAGCAAACCAGCGGAAAACUUGAACCAUUUAAUACAAUUGAUUUGACUGUAAUUGUGAAACCUAUUGAAACGGAUACUCCCGUAUACCAAAUAGAAUUAAAAUGGCUAGCAAAGGAACAACCGACAAAGGCAGAUUGGUCUGAAGCAACGGUGACAUCGAUUGAUGUUGGUUUUCAUAGAUCGCUAAAAACACAGACGGAUAUUGAUUAUCCAUUGAUGAGCACGUUCGCCACAAGUGACAAAUACCACAGAUUGACGGAAAUAAUUGAUCGAAGAUAUCAACCAGUUUGUAAUCACUGCCCAAUCGGAUAUCGCACUAUGACAUGGAAAGAAUAUUGGUUGCGCCAAGUACUGUGGGUGAUAGGUAUAUUACUCUUAUGUGGAGUGGCUUAUAAUCAUUCUAUACGUUCUACUUUUUAAAAUUUACACUAGGGAAGGGUUUCCAUUUUCAAUUUGUUCUACCUAAUUAUUGCAUGGGGUUUAUCUUGGGCGGUUGAAUUGAUGUUGUAUUAACUAAUCUACCACAAAAUCGUUUCAUUAGUUUGCUUUUGCGCGUUGGGAUGCAUUCAGGCAUAUAAAUACCACAUGGCAAACACCUGAGUAAAUACAUAAAAACCAAAAGGAAAAGGACGACUUAUCGACUCUGACAAUUUUGUUGACUUGCUGCUGUUCCUGUUGCUGAAUGUAGACAAAAUGUAUGUGGAAAUUUAUACUACGCGUCAUCCCACCCCUAUAGAGAUUGCGACAUUGCCUUGUUAUUCCUAUUGUUGUAUAUUUGGUGCUUUAAUUAGUUUAGUGCCAUGCCAAAUGGGAGGCAGUUAAAUGUUGGAGCACUUGCUUUAUGAUAUCAAUUAUCAUUUUGUGGUCCCAAUUCAAUUUGAUUCAUCUACUUAAUAUCCACAUUUUACCCUGAGGGUCUUAAUUUAACGGACACAAGACUUUAUGCGUUAGCAACAAGAAUGUUAUUAUUAGUUAAAUAAAAUUUAAUGUUCAGUAUUACCAAAAA
Long non-coding RNA from Drosophila willistoni, 1265 nucleotides. RefSeq lists it as uncharacterized. Lineage: Eukaryota; Metazoa; Arthropoda; Insecta; Diptera; Drosophilidae. The record is from RefSeq and is a predicted model, not a curated record. The transcript is spliced from 4 exons.